UACGGAGGGUGCGAGCGUUAUCCGGAUUCACUGGGUUUAAAGGGUGCGUAGGUGGGAAUGUAAGUCAGUGGUGAAAUCUCUGAGCUUAACUCAGAAACUGCCAUUGAUACUAUGUUUCUUGAAUUAUCUGGAGGUCAGCGGAAUAUGUCAUGUAGCGGUGAAAUGCUUAGAUAUGACAUAGAACACCAAUUGCGAAGGCAGCUGGCUAACAGGUGGAUUGACACUGAGG
This 229-nucleotide ribosomal RNA is filed under the name uncultured bacterium. Its description in RNAcentral is "partial 16S ribosomal RNA". It matches the Rfam family "Bacterial small subunit ribosomal RNA", at positions 524 to 751 of the family's 1533-position model. The record is from RNAcentral.